GCUGGGCGUGGUGGCGGGUGCCUGUAGUCCGAGCUACUCGGGAGGCUGAGGCAGGAGAAUUGCUUGAACCCAGGAGGCGGAGGUUGCAGUGAGCUGAGAUUGCGCCACUGCACUCCAGCCUGGGCGACAGAGCAAGACCCUGUCUCAG
RNAcentral lists this non-coding RNA (148 nucleotides) under Pan paniscus (pygmy chimpanzee). Lineage: Eukaryota; Metazoa; Chordata; Mammalia; Primates; Hominidae. The record is from Rfam by way of RNAcentral. RNAcentral also lists the same sequence under 1 other name.